RNAcentral lists this ribosomal RNA (399 nucleotides) under uncultured bacterium. Its description in RNAcentral is "bacterial SSU rRNA". It matches the Rfam family "Archaeal small subunit ribosomal RNA", at positions 455 to 853 of the family's 1478-position model. The record is from RNAcentral.
GUGCCAGCAGCCGCGGUAAUACCGGCGGCUCGAGUGGUGGCCGAUAUUAUUGAGUCUAAAGGGUCCGUAGCCGGCUUAGUAAGUCUUUUGGGAAAUCCAGCGGCUUAAUCGUUGGGCGUCCAUGAGAUACUGCUUUGCUUGGGACUGGGAGAGGUAGGAGGUACUCAAGGGGUAGGAGUGAAAUCCUGUAAUCCUUUGGGGACCACCGGUGGCGAAGGCGUCCUACCAGAACAGGUCCGACGGUGAGGGACGAAAGCUAGGGGCACGAACCGGAUUAGAUACCCGGGUAGUCCUAGCCGUAAACGAUGCUCGCUAGGUGUCACGGCAGUCGUGAAUUGCCGUGGUGCCGUAGGGAAGCCGUGAAGCGAGCCACUUGGGAAGUACGACCGCAAGGUUGAA